GAUUAACGCUGGCGGCAGGCCUAACACAUGCAAGUCGAACGCCCUAGCAAUAGGGAGUGGCGCACGGGUGCGUAACGCGUGGGAAUAUGCCCUUCACUGCGAAAUAACGUUUGGAAACGAACGCUAAUACCGCAUAAUGACUCCGGUCCAAAGAUUUAUCGGUGAAGGAUUAGCCCGCGUUAGAUUAGCUAGUUGGUGAGGUAAUGGCUCACCAAGGCGACGAUCUAUAGCUGGUCUGAGAGGAUGAUCAGCCACACUGGGACUGAGACACGGCCCAGACUCCUACGGGAGGCAGCAGUGAGGAAUAUUGGACAAUGGGCGCAAGCCUGAUCCAGCCAUGCCGCGUGCAGGAUGACGGCCCUAUGGGUUGUAAACUGCUUUAUACAAGAGAAAACCCUGGUACGUGUACCAGGUUGAUAGUAUUGUAAGAAUAAGCAUCGGCUAACUUCGUGCCAGCAGCCGCGGUAAU
This 469-nucleotide ribosomal RNA is filed under the name uncultured bacterium. RNAcentral describes it as "bacterial SSU rRNA". It matches the Rfam family "Bacterial small subunit ribosomal RNA", at positions 28 to 524 of the family's 1533-position model. The record is from RNAcentral.